AUCCCAGAUAAAGCUCUUUGUAUUUAUCUGAUUCAUGGGAGGCAAAUAUUAACCAUGGAAGUUUCGCUGAUAGCAUUCCUUUAAACCAUUCAGGAUAUGUUUACUUUUAGCUUUCCAAAAAUGU
Non-coding RNA from Lupinus angustifolius (narrow-leaved blue lupine), 124 nucleotides. NCBI's taxonomy places the organism in Eukaryota, Viridiplantae, Streptophyta, Magnoliopsida, Fabales, Fabaceae. The record is from Rfam.